AACAAACCUAUUUUUCUUCAUCAUCAACAGCAUCCUUUUUUUUUUUCAUAUGAUCAUGGGAACCUCACACAGUUGGAUGGAUGCAUCUGGAUGCUGGCAGCAUAUUCAUCAUCCUCAGGAGGAGAAACUGUGCUGCAGUUUCUGGGAGCUGAAAGAGCAUGCUGAUUAGUCAGUGACACCUGGGGGAGUACGACUGAGGAGUGAUCCUUGAGCUACUUCAGAUGGUGGUGGAAGUUCUACCUGCUGUCAAGAGGCUGCAGGAGGGAAUUGUCUGUUCAAGUGACUUAGAACAGAAGGAAACAGAAAAAUCUGAAAGGAGUCCUGAUGAGACGCCUGCGUGCAACCCACCUCCUCCCCAUCACUGCCUUUCUUCACUCAGGCUCUAUUCAAGCCACCUUCGUCUCUGGGGGGAUCCUGCUCUAAUGCCUUUCACAGCUGCGGUUUUGUUCCACUGAGACAGGUCUAACUGCCAAAAACCUAUAUCGAAAUUCUGUUCAUCAAUAAAUCAUGUUCAUUCUUUCUAAUGA
Oreochromis niloticus (Nile tilapia) is the source of this 527-nucleotide long non-coding RNA. RefSeq lists it as uncharacterized. The record is from RefSeq and is a predicted model, not a curated record. Lineage: Eukaryota; Metazoa; Chordata; Actinopteri; Cichliformes; Cichlidae. The transcript has 2 exons.